Molecule: long non-coding RNA, 1810 nt
Organism: Sander lucioperca (pikeperch)
Lineage: Eukaryota; Metazoa; Chordata; Actinopteri; Perciformes; Percidae
Exons: 4
Source: RefSeq, a predicted model, not a curated record
GGGAUGGAGGAAGAAGGAAGGAGAGAGGGAGGGAGGGAGGGAGAGGAGAAACGUGUAUCACCCAAACAACCAUUUUUACCCAUUUCACCCCCUCUGGAUCUGUGUCGCAAGUCUGCCGGGAGCUUAUCUGUCUUUCACUGCGGAUACCGUGAAGGGAGGCCGGGCCGUGAGGAAGACACCAAGAGGAGGAAGACGAUAAUCAGAUGCCCGGGAGGACUGGAAAUCGCGUGCCAAAAAACACAUUACUCCUGAAUUCCAAUUUGCACAUGGUGAACUAGGAAACGGUGGCAUCCUUGAACUUGUCUUUGCUGAUGGGAAUCAGAUGAAGAGAAAGUGCUUCAAAUCUAGCUGGAAAAAAAAAAAAAACACAAGACACUUUAAAAAUGUAAUCACCGAAACCACCUACUGCAUGGAUGUGUUCAGACAUAUUUGUAAUUUAGGAACAUGUCAUCACCCUUACUUAGAUCUGCGGCUUUGAGUGUUUUGUUUUUCACUAGCAGGGUGCCAUAUCAUUCUGGUGUUUUUCUGCUUUUUCAUUCGUGCUCAGUUAAAUAAAAAACAACACUCCAAACAUAAGUUUGAACCCUUAUGUUUAGCUGACAUAGGUCUAACUUUCUCAUUGUUUAGAGUCCCACAGACCCCACUGCUGUAUGUGUCAAAAUGAUAAUGAUAAUUGCAAAAUUCACCAUUUAUUUUUAGUUUUUUUUCCUUCUUCUGAGCUUUUUAGAAUACCAUAUGUAAAACACUAAUACUGUGGUAAUCCUUUUCUUUGCCACAAACUGUGCUCCCACAUUCGAUGAACAAACAGAAAUGACCAUAAAGCAUCGUUAACUACGUUAAAAAAAAAAAGAAAAUAUGACAUGUUUUUAUUUGAACAGGGAUGUCCACGCAUCUUCUGGCAGCAUGCAGCUUCCUUUAAUAAUGCAAACAGAUAACAAACACCAUCAGUUCAUAAUUCAGUUUCUAAGAAAAUUCUCAUAAAAUUGGGAAAAGUCAUGAUGUAUCAAGGAUAAAUAAACAAUGUUAAGUAGGUUUGUUUGAGCUGUUCAAGGGGGCCCGCUAUCAAUGUUGUGAAUAAAAAUGAUUGUUGUAAAAAAAGUUAUAUACUGAUCAUGUAACACACCUCAAAGAGGUUUCAGGGAAAUUGAUAACAGGCUGUUGGUACAAAUUGAAUUCAUGGAUGAGAAAAAAAGACAGGUGUCAAAUCUUACAAGAGAAUGUGACAUUUGAGGCAGUCUGUGAUUUGUAAUAAAAAAAUUUUUUUUAAAUGCAUGCAUUCUGACAUCAUCACAAUCUAGACUCAGUCCAAAUAAGUGAUCCUGGUUAACGCCAGGUGUAAAGAGGACCUAUGAGUAUUAAUCUUUCUCUGGGCUGUCGGCGGGCUGAUUUAGUCGCCCAUGUUGGGUCAAGGCCCUCAUUCUUUUCUUAAACACCUCGCUUCCCUGCCAAACCGGGAUUUCCGAUUGAGGGGGCCUCAAUAACAACUUUGAUGUGGACGGCGUCCUAGAGGGUGAAGUGAAAGGCGAGAGGGAGGAGGACCGCACAAUGGCCUGACCUUCCUACUGCAUCUGCACAGAUCCCACUCUAAAUGGGCACAUUGAUGCUGCUGCUUAGCUCUUUGCUGGGAGUCCUGAUGGAGCCAACACUGGGGACUGGGACACAGCAAAGCCUGGAUACCUGCCAACAGACAGGGACAAAUUGAUUGAGAGCAAUCCAGCUCUUAUUGCAUCUAACCCCCCCUCCCCCGUUCUGCUUCAAGCAGUGUGUAAAUAGAGGUGUACUGUUAUAAUAAAAUGAUUUACUUUUCAUA